This 439-nucleotide ribosomal RNA is filed under the name uncultured bacterium. RNAcentral's name for it is "partial 16S ribosomal RNA". It matches the Rfam family "Bacterial small subunit ribosomal RNA", at positions 338 to 795 of the family's 1533-position model. The record is from RNAcentral.
CCUACGGGUGGCAGCAGUGGGGAAUAUUGCACAAUGGGCGAAAGCCUGAUGCAGCAACGCCGCGUGAGCGAUGAAGGCCUUCGGGUCGUAAAGCUCUGUCCUCAAGGAAGAUAAUGACGGUACUUGAGGAGGAAUCCCCGUCUAACUACGUCCCAGCAGCCGCGGUAACAGGCAGGGGGCUAGCGUUAUCCGGAAUUACUGGGCGUAAAGGGUGCGUAGGUGGUUUCUUAAGUCAGAGGUGAAAGGCUACGGCUCAACCGUAGUAAGCCUUUGAAACUGGGAAACUUGAGUGCAGGAGAGGGAGGUGGAAUUCGUGGUGUAGCGGUGAAAUGCGUAGAUAUUAGGAAGAACACCGGUUGCGAAGGCGGCUCUCUGGACUGUAACUGACGCUGAGGCACGAAAGCGUGGGGAGCAAACAGGAUUAGAUACCCUGGUAGUC